This 68-nucleotide transfer RNA is filed under the name Mongoloraphidia harmandi. RNAcentral describes it as "tRNA-Phe". The record is from RNAcentral. Lineage: Eukaryota; Metazoa; Arthropoda; Insecta; Raphidioptera; Raphidiidae.
AUUUAUAUAGCUUAAAAUAAAGAGCAUGAUAUUGAAGAUAUCAAGGUAAAAUUAAAUUUUUAUAAAUA